Molecule: long non-coding RNA, 2842 nt
Organism: Scleropages formosus (Asian bonytongue)
Lineage: Eukaryota; Metazoa; Chordata; Actinopteri; Osteoglossiformes; Osteoglossidae
Source: Ensembl
AUGGCCCUGGAGGAAGAGUGGCUGCGCAGCCGUCUCAGGCUGUGUGAGCUGCGCACGGAGGAGAGACCUGACUGUGGGGAGACGCGCGUGGGACACAUGCAGGUGACUGUCAACUGCCAGGCCUGUCCCCCGCCAGCGUACAACAGAUGCUCUCUUCUGAGUUCCCUGAGCAUGUAUACCCAAGCCCUGAUGGACGCCGCGAGGAGGGCACCUGCCGGGGAAGGACCGCCGCCACGGGCGAGAAACGGUGCCCUCGAGGGGUUUGCAGCGGCCCUGACGGAAAGCAUCCUGCAGUCGGCGUGGCAUCGCUGGGAGGUGGGCGAGAGCCAAAGGGCGCAACACUGUGGCCAGCAUGAGGAGGACAAGGCCAAAACCUCGUCCCAGAUUACGGUCCCUCCGGAAGGUGCUGGACACGCACCGAGCGUCACUCAGGAACGGAAGCCCCCCUUGGAGACACUGUGGGAGGCAGGGGGCGAUGAGGGCAUGGCGGUGUACGAUGAGGACAGCCUCCCCUCCGCCGUGGCCCACUCUGCGCUUCCCAGUGAGGGCUCCAUCGACUACCCUAGUGCUCCGCCCACCUCCCCCCUUCUCCCAGAAACGGUCAGGAGUCCAGGAGGUUUCUCAAGGAGCCUCAAAUGCGGCUUGGCCAACGGAUUCCGUCCCUCUCCACCCCCACCGACCCCUAAAGAUGCCGCCUGCUCGGAGCAGGGCAGUCCCGUCAUCGGGGAGGACAAGGCAGACUUCAUGGCGCGACUGAUGCGCUCGCUGUCGCUCGAGUGCACUCAGGACGAGCUGAGCGGGACGGAGGUCCAGAAGGACGGGACAACGAGGAGCGGACGAGCCAGAGCGGAGAUAACCUGCUUAUCGGAUUAUGCGGACUGGCUGUCGGCAGAGAUCAUCGAGGGGCUCGUGACGCUCAGCCCAGAGCAGUCAGAGGAACCCGGCGGAGUGGAGAUCAGUGCUGAGAGUCCUGGCAUACAGAGUCACCAGACGGGUCCUAUGUCCUGCAGUGUGGAGGGCGAUCCAAACGGUGGAGCCACACGCGCAGCGGCUGAGAGCUGGGCUGAGAGGGUGCUGGAAAUUGCAGUGCUGGAGGCAGCGGCAAAGCAGAAGGAAAUGCAAGAAGGUUCCGGGCCUUCGAGGGCAGGGCCGUCUGUGGACGUUGCGCCGUGUCGUGGGACUCCGACACAGAGAGGGCACCCCGACAUCGGUGGAUCCGGGAUGGAAGGUCUGGAGGAGCUUGCUGAGGAAUUGGUUGCCGAGGCUCUGCAACAGGCAGGCCUCUGUCAACAACCGGACCAGGAGCAAGACGGUCGCUCCGAGAACAACCUGACCCCGGCGCUGGAACAGAGGACGCAGCCCUGCCUCGAACCCCAAACCCUCGGCAGGUCAAGACUCCCCAGCCUAGGACCAAGGCCCCACCUGACCCCUCUGCCUCCCCGGUGCAGCUCUUUCGCAUCAGACCUAGCGGAGAAAGUGCUGAGAAGCUCUACGCUGGAAGCCGCCAAGCUGCGCAGAGGGCCGGCUGGGUCACGGGUUCGAGCGCUGCUGGGCAGCUGGAACCACAGCGGCUCGCGGGCACUGCAGGGCCUGCUCCUCUGGGCUGCCGCCUCGCACAUGGAGACCGCGGUCCUGCAGCUCACACUCACGGACGCGCAGCUUCAAACAAAGGUACGGCAAAUCCCACGCAGCAUUUACACUCCCAAGUUAGUAUCACCAAAGUGCAGCUCAUAUCACCCAGUGCAGAACAGUUACAGUACAAAUACAGCCUAACCAGAGUUACAUUGAGCAACGAUAAUAUGAGACGUGUGUGAGUUCAUAAGAGAAAUACAAUUAUGCUACACUUAUGCACUUUAUUGAAAAAUAUUUUCCGUCUCCAUAAUUUAACCACAGAUGAGGUCAUCAGCACUGGUAACAUUUAGCAUUUUUCCAAUAUGAAGUGCAGCAUGUGCAACGUAUGCAGAUAGUGUGUUAUAAUAUACAUAUUCAUACAUACAUAUGCUAAUUUAGACAUAACUGUAUUGCUAUCAUUUUGAUGUCCUGAGAGGAACUUUUUCUAAAGCAGACUAGAGCACUUAAAUAUUUGUACAUCUUCCCUUUUUAUGUACAUAUUUCGCUCAGGGGUAAAACAGCUGCUCCCACUGUGGGACUUGAAUAUGCAUUUACAUUUCUUCAUUUAGCGGACGCUUUUUUCCCAAGAGACGGAAAAUACAACGAGCGCAUGACAUCAGCGGAAAGAGACACUUGGAUGCAGGCGCGUGAUUCUAAAGCACACUUAAUUUGUCACAGCUUUGGAUUUUAGGGCCAGGUGUUUAACCAAGUCCCACUGCUACAUGAUCUUCCUGCCCUGACGCGUUUCGUACCGUGGUUCAGUUUUGCAGCGUGGCCCGGCGAGCGCAGCUCUCUGGCUGGACCGUGGGAGACCUGGUCACAUCGGUGCUGCGGUUCUGCGAACAGGACGAGAGGGCCGUGGAGAGGAGGCAGAGUCUCACUGACCUCUGUCUGAUCGAGUGUCUGCAGAAGCAGCUGGGAGAAGCUGCUUAGCGGAGCCAGCGACUAGUGCGUGGGGGGGGACGUCUCCAAACAAUAACAGCAAUACAAUAACAGCGCUGGACUGAGACAAGAGCGCAAGAACGGAUGCCGGAACACACGGAUACAUGGCGACUGACACGACGCACCAGAAGCAGGACCGAUUCCCCAGCUAUAGGACUGUCAUCAUGGACUGUCGUCACUCCAGGCCCGGGGGGUGUUUUUUACAUGGAAAAAAUACAUGUAUCACUUGUUUUUAUACUGGAUUUUUGCACUGAAUAAAUAUGCAAAUGUGGGUUAUUUACGCGUUUCG